CCUACGGGAGGCAGCAGUAGGGAAUCUUCCGCAAUGGACGAAAGUCUGACGGAGCAACGCCGCGUGAGUGAUGAAGGCUUUCGGGUCGUAAAACUCUGUUGUUAGGGAAGAACAAGUACGAGAGUAACUGCUCGUACCUUGACGGUACCUAACCAGAAAGCCACGGCUAACUACGUGCCAGCAGCCGCGGUAAUACGUAGGUGGCAAGCGUUAUCCGGAAUUAUUGGGCGUAAAGCGCGCGCAGGCGGUUUCUUAAGUCUGAUGUGAAAGCCCACGGCUCAACCGUGGAGGGUCAUUGGAAACUGGGGAACUUGAGUGCAGAAGAGAAAAGCGGAAUUCCACGUGUAGCGGUGAAAUGCGUAGAGAUGUGGAGGAACACCAGUGGCGAAGGCGGCUUUUUGGUCUGUAACUGACGCUGAGGCGCGAAAGCGUGGGGAGCAAACAGGAUUAGAUACCCUGGUAGUCCACGCCGUAAACGAUGAGUGCUAAGUGUUAGGGGGUUUCCGCCCCUUAGUGCUGCAGCUAACGCAUUAAGCACUCCGCCUGGGGAGUACGGCCGCAAGGCUGAAACUCAAAGGAAUUGACGG
Molecule: ribosomal RNA, 587 nt
Filed under: uncultured bacterium
Lineage: Bacteria
Description: bacterial SSU rRNA
Rfam family: Bacterial small subunit ribosomal RNA
Source: RNAcentral